Molecule: ribosomal RNA, 179 nt
Filed under: Cyanobacteria bacterium HKST-UBA01
Lineage: Bacteria; Bacillati; Cyanobacteriota
Description: partial 23S ribosomal RNA
Rfam family: Bacterial large subunit ribosomal RNA
Source: RNAcentral
GGUCAAGUUAUUAAGGGUGCAGGGCGGAUGCCUUGGCACUAGGAGCCGAUGAAGGACGUGAUAAGCUGCGAUAAGCUUCGGGGAGUUGCACGUAAACUUUGAUCCGAAGAUUUCCGAAUGAGGAAACUCACUUAGAGUAAUGUCUAAGUAUCGUUAAGUGAAUACAUAGCUUAGCGAGG